GGGUUGUGAGGUUAAGCGACUAAGCGUACACGGUGGAUGCCCUGGCAGUCAGAGGCGAUGAAGGGCGUGCUAAUCUGCGAUAAGCGCCGGUAAGGUGAUAUGAACCGUUAUAACCGGCGAUACCCGAAUGGGGAAACCCAGUGUGACUCGUCACACUAUCAUUAACUGAAUCCAUAGGUUAAUGAGGCGAACCGGGGGAACUGAAACAUCUAAGUACCCCGAGGAAAAGAAAUCAACCGAGAUUCCCCCAGUAGCGGCGAGCGAACGGGGAGGAGCCCAGAGCCUGAAUCAGCAUGUGUGUUAGUGGAAGCGUCUGGAAAGGCGCGCGAUACAGGGUGACAGCCCCGUACACAAAAGCGCAUGUGCUGUGAGCUCGAUGAGUAGGGCGGGACACGUGGUAUCCUGUCUGAAUAUGGGGGGACCAUCCUCCAAGGCUAAAUACUCCUGACUGACCGAUAGUGAACCAGUACCGUGAGGGAAAGGCGAAAAGAACCCCGGCGAGGGGAGUGAAAAAGAACCUGAAACCGUGUACGUACAAGCAGUGGGAGCACCCUUUGGGGUGUGACUGCGUACCUUUUGUAUAAUGGGUCAGCGACUUAUAUUCUGUAGCAAGGUUAACCG
This 621-nucleotide ribosomal RNA is filed under the name Salmonella enterica. RNAcentral describes it as "partial 23S ribosomal RNA". It matches the Rfam family "Bacterial large subunit ribosomal RNA", at positions 1 to 652 of the family's 2925-position model. The record is from RNAcentral. Lineage: Bacteria; Pseudomonadati; Pseudomonadota; Gammaproteobacteria; Enterobacterales; Enterobacteriaceae. RNAcentral also lists the same sequence under 4 other names.